RNAcentral lists this unclassified non-coding RNA (268 nucleotides) under Hevea brasiliensis (rubber tree). Lineage: Eukaryota; Viridiplantae; Streptophyta; Magnoliopsida; Malpighiales; Euphorbiaceae. The record is from RNAcentral.
GAAAAUGAAUACUUGAGUACUUAAUUCAAUGAGUUCUUGAAAGAACAGGGCAUUAUUUCUCAAUUAACUCCUCCUGGAACACCACAAUUAAAUAGUUUAUCUGAAAGGAGAAAUCGUACUUUAUUGGAUAUGAUAAGAAGUAUGAUGAGCUAUACUGACCUUCCAAUCUCCUUAUGGGGAUUUGCAUUAAAAACAACUUUGUAUCUUCUUAACCGAGUCCCUUCCAAAUCAGUCUCUUCCACUCCCAGUUGAAAUUUAUAUUAGUAGC